RNAcentral lists this ribosomal RNA (221 nucleotides) under Penicillium vulpinum. RNAcentral describes it as "partial 28S large subunit ribosomal RNA". It matches the Rfam family "Eukaryotic large subunit ribosomal RNA", at positions 3176 to 3399 of the family's 3401-position model. Lineage: Eukaryota; Fungi; Ascomycota; Eurotiomycetes; Eurotiales; Aspergillaceae. The record is from RNAcentral.
UCGUAGUUGGAUACGACUAGGGCCUUCGGGCCAUGCACCUCAGCAGGCUGGGCGACGGCUCCCGGGGAGAAACCCUCGAGAGCUGGCUGGCGGAUUGUAAUGUCACCUCGCGCGGGGAUAGAUCCUCUGCAGACGACUGAGUGACCCAAGCAGGGUCGUGUAAGCGGUCGAGUGGCCUUGUUGUACGAGUCGCUGAGCGUCACCCGACCUUGGCUAGAUUU